UACGUAGGCAGCGAGCGUUGUUCGGAGUUACUGGGCGUAAAGAGCUCGUAGGCGGCUUGUCACGUCGGGUGUGAAAGCCCGGGGCUUAACCCCGGGUCUGCAUUCGAUACGGGCAGGCUAGAGUGUGGUAGGGGAGAUCGGAAUUCCUGGUGUAGCGGUGAAAUGCGCAGAUAUCAGGAGGAACACCGGUGGCGAAGGCGGAUCUCUGGGCCAUUACUGACGCUGAGGAGCGAAAGCGUGGGGAGCGAACAGG
RNAcentral lists this ribosomal RNA (253 nucleotides) under uncultured bacterium. RNAcentral describes it as "partial 16S ribosomal RNA". It matches the Rfam family "Bacterial small subunit ribosomal RNA", at positions 524 to 776 of the family's 1533-position model. The record is from RNAcentral.